Molecule: ribosomal RNA, 480 nt
Filed under: Spaethiella purpureocincta
Lineage: Eukaryota; Metazoa; Arthropoda; Insecta; Coleoptera; Chrysomelidae
Description: partial 12S small subunit ribosomal RNA
Source: RNAcentral
UCAUAUGAUGUAAAUAAAUUUUUUUGGUUUAAGAUUAUAAAGAAUUUUUUUAAAAAUUAUUAUUUUAAGGUGAAAUUUUAAUUUUAAUUAAAUAUAUUAUUGUUUUGGGUUUCUAUAAAUUGAAAAAUAAACUAGGAUUAGAUACCCUAUUAUUUUAACUUAAAUUUAUUCUUUAUAAUUAAUUUGUUUGAGAAUAAAAUAAUUUGGCGGUUUUUUAUCAGUUCAGAGGAACCUGUUCCGUAAUUGAUGGUCCACGAUUAAAUUUACUUUACUUAGGUUUAUAUAUCGUUGUAAUUAAGUAUUUUCUAAGAAUUUACUUAUAAUUUUUUUAAUAAAAAUUAUUCAGAUCAAGAUGUAGCUUUAGUCAAGAGGAGAUGGGUUACAAUUUAUUUAUAAAGGGAUUUAAAUUUUUAAAAUUUAAUUAAUUUGGAUUUGAGUGUAAUUUUAAAUAUAUAUUUAAUUUGAUAAUUGCUCUGGAAU